This 910-nucleotide ribosomal RNA is filed under the name uncultured Acidobacteriaceae bacterium. RNAcentral's name for it is "bacterial SSU rRNA". It matches the Rfam family "Bacterial small subunit ribosomal RNA", at positions 8 to 916 of the family's 1533-position model. Lineage: Bacteria; Pseudomonadati; Acidobacteriota; Terriglobia; Terriglobales; Acidobacteriaceae. The record is from RNAcentral.
AGAGUUUGAUCCUGGCUCAGAGCGAACGCUGGCGGCGUGCUUAACACAUGCAAGUCGAACGCGCAGCAUUCUGUAGCAAUACAGGGUGUGGGCGCGUGGCGAACGGGUGCGUAACACGUGGAUAACCUUCCUUCAGGUGGGGAAUAACCCAGUGAAAAUUGGGCUAAUACCGCAUAACAUGACGAUGCCACAUGGUGUUGUCUUCAAAGCCGCAAGGCGCCAGAAGAGGGAUCCGCGGCCGAUUAGCUUGUUGGCGAGGUAAUGGCUCACCAAGGCUUUGAUCGGUAGCCGGACUGAGAGGUUGGCCGGCCACACUGGAACUGAGACACGGUCCAGACUCCUACGGGAGGCAGCAGUGGGGAAUCUUGCACAAUGGACGAAAGUCUGAUGCAGCAACGCCGCGUGGGGGAUGAAGCUUUUCGGAGUGUAAACCCCUUUCGACCCGGAAGAAUGCCCGCAAGGGUUUGACGGUACGGGUAUAAGAAGCCCCGGCUAACUACGUGCCAGCAGCCGCGGUAAUACGUAGGGGGCCAGCGUUGCUCGGAAUUACUGGGCGUAAAGGGUCCGUAGGCGGUGUGGCAAGUCGGGAGUGAAAUCUCUGGGCUUAACCCAGAGGCUGCUUCCGAAACUGCCAUGCUAGAGUGUGAGAGAGGCGAGUGGAAUUACGGGUGUAGCGGUGAAAUGCGUAGAUAUCCGUAGGAACAUCCGAGGCGAAGGCGGCUCGCUGGAUCACAACUGACGCUGAGGGACGAAAGCUAGGGGAGCAAACAGGAUUAGAUACCCUGGUAGUCCUAGCCCUAAACCAUCAGACUUGGGGUGUGCCCUGUACGGGGCACGUCCCGUAGCUAACGCGUUAAGUCCUGCGCCUGGGGAGUACGGUCGCAAGGCUGAAACUCAAAGGAAUUGACGG